RNA transcript from Drosophila mojavensis, 1560 nucleotides. RefSeq lists it as uncharacterized. Lineage: Eukaryota; Metazoa; Arthropoda; Insecta; Diptera; Drosophilidae. The transcript is spliced from 11 exons. The record is from RefSeq and is a predicted model, not a curated record.
CAGUUAUUCAGAAUCUGCCAUGUGCCGUAGUUUUACGCGGCGAUGUCUUAAAAUCGCUACGAUAGCCUCUCUAUGCAUCCUGCUGCAAUUUUCCCUUGCCGAAGUGGGUGUGAAUAUUGCAUAUAUUUUGAAUCAGACUUUUUUCAGAACUUGUAUGAUCCUUUCAAGCGUAUUUACAAUUAUAUUCAUGAUCAUUAUAUCAACCAUUGGAAUUAUAGUACUCUUUGGACAGAACAGACUCAGACCCUUCAUAUUGGCUAUCUGCCUGUUAGUAUAUCUCACAUUGAAGUCCCUUCUUUGGAUACUCUUUCAAGACCGGGAAAGGACAACGAUAAUGUCUAUAUUGUCAGAUAUAUUCUUUAUCCUGUCCACAAUAUGUACUAUUGUCUCGAUAUUAUUAGUCACAUCAUUGGUCUGGAGGAUCGAACAUACCUGAGACUUUUGUUUCGUUUUCACUAAACAUCAACAUUUGUAUAAAUUGGUUCAAAAAAACAUGUGCUUCCUACGACUAUUUAUACUCCAGAUCCAAACGGUCGGGCUGUGUUUCAUAGUUUUGAUAUGUAAUACUUGUAAUCUUUUCUAUGGCAUACGAUUUGCUAGCAAUUUCGAUGGCCCUGCGCGGAAUCUGCUGAUUGUGUCUAUAAUACUGGACUGUGUUCUAUUCCUGAACAUUUUCUUGGGCAUUUAUGGGGCUCUUCUUCAUAAGCAAUGGCCCUUAAAGCUGUAUAUAUUCACUCUGAUUACCUUCUUCAUAAGUAAGGUAUUGAUUGCGGAUCAAGCUGUUGGCUUUGAUACCGAAUUCUAUUACACCUUGGUGAACCACUGGUACCAUAUGGAAACUGCCUUUUCGGUUUUAUGUUUGAUCUUUGCCUUCUCAUUGUACCUAAAAAUGGACGACUUGGGAGACUUCAAGUAAAAAACCAAAUAAAAUGCGAAUGAUCUGGAAUUAAUAUCAAAAUUAAUUGAGUUUUACAUGAGAACGACGUGUUACACUACAUUAGCUAUUAAUCAUCUAUGGACUUAUUGACGUGAAGGAGAAAAAUAACAAUUUGGCAGUAGCUCUAUAAAUAUAAAUACAAAUAAAUAUAAGCAUGUGUUUCUUUCAGUUUGAGGCCCUGAGAUAUACGGCCAUGAGCGUGAUCAUCGUUUUCGCAGCUUGCAAUUUUCUUGACGACAGUUUUACCGUAAUGACCCUAUGUGAGGGUCAUGAGAAAAUUAAAACAGGUCUAAUCGUAUCGCUUGUAAUGAAUACCGUAGCGUAUAUUCCAAUUGUCACUGGUUUUUAUGGCACCUAUCGCAAUCACAUCUUGAAGCUACAGCAGUUCAUAAUCACAAUGAUGGCAUAUUUUUUCGGCAAAAUCGUACUAAGCAAAUUUUUAGUUCUUUUCGAACUGCCUAAAGUUGAAUUGAUCGUAUCGUAUCAACUAUGUAUUAUCACUUCUGGACUUUGUUUUGUAUUCGCAAUUCCACUAACUGUGAAGCUUUUGGAGAAAGAGAAUGAACCCGAACCCGAAAUUCAAGUUUAAAUUCAUAUAAAUAUUUUUAUUUACCUAUUUUAAA